CAGCCCGGUAAUUCCAGCUCCAAUAGCGUAUAUUAAAGUUGCUGCAGUUAAAAAGCUCGUAGUUGAAUUUCGGGAUCAAUAUGUUGGUCGUGCCUCGGUACGUACUAGCUUAUUGGUUUCUCCCUUCUGACGAACCAUGAUGUCAUUUAUUUGGUGUUAUGAGGAAUCAGGACUGUUACUUUGAAAAAAUUAGAGUGUUUAAAGCAGGCUCACGCUUGAAUACAUUAGCAUGGAAUAAUGAAAUAGGACGUUUGAUUCUAUUUUGUUGGUUUCUAGGAUCGACGUAAUGAUUAAUAGGGAUAGUUGGGGGCAUUAGUAUUCAAUUGUCAGAGGUGAAAUUCUUGGAUUUAUUGAAGACUAACUACUGCGAAAGCAUUUGCCAAGGAUGUUUUCAUUAAUCAAGAACGAAAGUUAGGGGAUCGAAGACGAUCAGAUACCGUCGUAGUCUUAACCAUAAACUAUGCCGACUAGGGAUCGGAUGAUGUUAAUUUUUAAUGACUCAUUCGGCGCCUUACG
This 516-nucleotide ribosomal RNA is filed under the name uncultured Glomus. Its description in RNAcentral is "SSU rRNA". It matches the Rfam family "Eukaryotic small subunit ribosomal RNA", at positions 571 to 1092 of the family's 1831-position model. Lineage: Eukaryota; Fungi; Glomeromycota; Glomeromycetes; Glomerales; Glomeraceae. The record is from RNAcentral.